RNAcentral lists this ribosomal RNA (499 nucleotides) under uncultured bacterium. Its description in RNAcentral is "partial 16S ribosomal RNA". It matches the Rfam family "Bacterial small subunit ribosomal RNA", at positions 29 to 522 of the family's 1533-position model. The record is from RNAcentral.
AUUGAACGCUGGCGGCAUGCCUUACACAUGCAAGUCGAACGGCAGCACGGGUGCUUGCACCUGGUGGCGAGUGGCGAACGGGUGAGUAAUACAUCGGAACGUACCUUAUCGUGGGGGAUAACGCAGCGAAAGCUGUGCUAAUACCGCAUACGCCCUGAGGGGGAAAGCGGGGAUCGAAAGACCUCGCGCGAUUAGAGCGGCCGAUGCCUGAUUAGCUUGUUGGUGGGGUAAAAGCCCACCAAGGCGACGAUCAGUAGCUGGUCUGAGAGGACGAUCAGCCACACUGGGACUGAGACACGGCCCAGACUCCUACGGGAGGCAGCAGUGGGGAAUUUUGGACAAUGGGGGCAACCCUGAUCCAGCAAUGCCGCGUGAGUGAAGGAGGCCUUCGGGUUGCAAAGCUCUUUUGUCAGGGAAGAAACACCGGCUCUAACACAGUCCGGGAAUGACGGUACCUGAAGAAUAAGCACCGGCUAACUACGUGCCAGCCGCCGCGUAA